This 524-nucleotide ribosomal RNA is filed under the name uncultured bacterium. RNAcentral's name for it is "partial 16S ribosomal RNA". It matches the Rfam family "Bacterial small subunit ribosomal RNA", at positions 355 to 895 of the family's 1533-position model. The record is from RNAcentral.
UGGGGAAUAUUGCACAAUGGGCGAAAGCCUGAUGCAGCAACGCCGCGUGAGUGAUGAAGGCCUUCGGGUUGUAAAGCUCUGUCUUUUGGGACGAUAAUGACGGUACCAAAGGAGGAAGCCACGGCUAACUACGUGCCAGCAGCCGCGGUAAUACGUAGGUGGCAAGCGUUGUCCGGAUUUACUGGGCGUAAAGGAUGCGUAGGCGGAUUUUUAAGUGAGAUGUGAAAUACCCGGGCUUAACUUGGGUGCUGCAUUUCAAACUGGGAAUCUAGAGUGCGGGAGAGGAGAAUGGAAUUCCUAGUGUAGCGGUGAAAUGCGUAGAGAUUAGGAAGAACACCAGUGGCGAAGGCGAUUCUCUGGACCGUAACUGACGCUGAGGCAUGAAAGCGUGGGUAGCAAACAGGAUUAGAUACCCUGGUAGUCCACGCCGUAAACGAUGAGUACUAGGUGUAGGAGGUAUCGACCCCUUCUGUGCCGCAGUUAACACAAUAAGUACUCCGCCUGGGAAGUACGAUCGCAAGAUU